AAUAGACAUUCACAGCCUAUGCAGUAAUCUCCACAGUGGAGUAAAGAAGAUCCUACAAUGAUCCCGUCCAGGACACCACAUUACACUUAAUCAUCUUUCACCUUCAACUUCUUUUGGCUCCCUUCCAUCUGGAGAGACCUUGGAAAACCAGCGCCAUUGUCAAUCCUUGAGCGUAUGCUUCUGAAGUGUUCUGCUGAGGCAAUUGUCUUUCUUUCAUCUGCC
Orcinus orca (killer whale) is the source of this 222-nucleotide long non-coding RNA. RefSeq lists it as uncharacterized. The record is from RefSeq and is a predicted model, not a curated record. The transcript has 3 exons. Lineage: Eukaryota; Metazoa; Chordata; Mammalia; Artiodactyla; Delphinidae.